GACGAACGCUGUCGGCGUGCUUAACACAUGCAAGUCGAACGGAAAGGCCCUGCUUUUGUGGGGUGCUCGAGUGGCGAACGGGUGAGUAACACGUGAGUAACCUGCCCUUGACUUUGGGAUAACCUCAGGAAACUGGGGCUAAUACCGGAUAGGAGCUCCUGCUGCAUGGUGGGGGUUGGAAAGUUUCGGCGGUUGGGGAUGGACUCGCGGCUUAUCAGCUUGUUGGUGGGGUAGUGGCUUACCAAGGCUUUGACGGGUAGCCGGCCUGAGAGGGUGACCGGCCACAUUGGGACUGAGAUACGGCCCAGACUCCUACGGGAGGCAGCAGUGGGGAAUAUUGCACAAUGGGCGGAAGCCUGAUGCAGCAACGCCGCGUGCGGGAUGACGGCCUUCGGGUUGUAAACCGCUUUCGCCUGUGACGAAGCGUGAGUGACGGUAAUGGGUAAAGAAGCACCGGCUAACUACGUGCCAGCAGCCGCGGUGAUACGUAGGGUGCGAGCGUUGUCCGGAUUUAUUGGGCGUAAAGGGCUCGUAGGUGGUUGAUCGCGUCGGAAGUGUAAUCUUGGGGCUUAACCCUGAGCGUGCUUUCGAUACGGGUUGACUUGAGGAAGGUAGGGGAGAAUGGAAUUCCUGGUGGAGCGGUGGAAUGCGCAGAUAUCAGGAGGAACACCAGUGGCGAAGGCGGUUCUCUGGGCCUUUCCUGACGCUGAGGAGCGAAAGCGUGGGGAGCGAACAGGCUUAGAUACCCUGGUAGUCCACGCUGUAAACGGUGGGUACUAGGUGUGGGGUCCAUUCCACGGGUUCCGUGCCGUAGCUAACGCUUUAAGUACCCCGCCUGGGGAGUACGGCCGCAAGGCUAAAACUCAAAGGAAUUGACGGGGCCCCGCACAAGCGGCGGAGCAUGCGGAUUAAUUCGAUGCAACGCGUAGAACCUUACCUGGGUUUGACAUGGAUCGGGAGUGCUCAGAGAUGGGUGUGCCUCUUUUGGGGUCGGUUCACAGGUGGUGCAUGGCUGUCGUCAGCUCGUGUCGUGAGAUGUUGGGUUAAGUCCCGCAACGAGCGCAACCCUUGUUUACUGUUGCCAGCACGUUAUGGUGGGGACUCAGUGGAGACCGCCGGGGUCAACUCGGAGGAAGGUGGGGAUGACGUCAAGUCAUCAUGCCCCUUAUGUCCAGGGCUUCACGCAUGCUACAAUGGCUGGUACAGAGAGUGGCGAGCCUGUGAGGGUGAGCGAAUCUCGGAAAGCCGGUCUCAGUUCGGAUUGGGGUCUGCAACUCGACCUCAUGAAGUCGGAGUCGCUAGUAAUCGCAGAUCAGCAACGCUGCGGUGAAUACGUUCCCGGGGCU
RNAcentral lists this ribosomal RNA (1346 nucleotides) under uncultured bacterium. Its description in RNAcentral is "partial 16S ribosomal RNA". It matches the Rfam family "Bacterial small subunit ribosomal RNA", at positions 28 to 1381 of the family's 1533-position model. The record is from RNAcentral.